GACGAACGCUGGCGGCGUGCUUAACACAUGCAAGUCGAACGGAAAGGCCCUGCUUUUGUGGGGUGCUCGAGUGGCGAACGGGUGAGUAACACGUGAGUAACCUGCCCUUGACUUUGGGAUAACUUCAGGAAACUGGGGCUAAUAACGGAUAGGAGCUCCUGCUGCAUGGUGGGGGUUGGAAAGUUUCGGCGGUUGGGGAUGGACUCGCGGCUUAUCAGCUUGUUGGUGGGGUAGUGGCUUACCAAGUCUUUGACGGGUAGCCGGCCUGAGAGGGUGACCGGCCACAUUGGGACUGAGAUACGGCCCAGACUCCUACGGGAGGCAGCAGUGGGGAAUAUUGCACAAUGGGCGGAAGCCUGAUGCAGCAACGCCGCGUGCGGGAUGACGGCCUUCGGGUUGUAAACCGCUUUCGCCUGUGACGAAGCGUGAGUGACGGUAAUGGGUAAAGAAGCACCGGCUAACUACGUG
RNAcentral lists this ribosomal RNA (468 nucleotides) under uncultured bacterium. RNAcentral describes it as "partial 16S ribosomal RNA". It matches the Rfam family "Bacterial small subunit ribosomal RNA", at positions 28 to 507 of the family's 1533-position model. The record is from RNAcentral.